CCCUUAGAUGUCCUGGGCCGCACGCGCGCUACACUGAUGCAUGCAACGAGUUUAUAACCUUGGCCUGAAAGGUCUGGGUAAUCUUUUGAACGUGCAUCGUGAUAGGGAUAGAUUAUUGCAAUUGUUAAUCUUGAACGAGGAAUUCCUAGUAAACGCGAGUCAUCAGCUCGCAUUGAUUACGUCCCUGCCCUUUGUACACACCGCCCGUCGCACCUACCGAUUGAAUGGUUCGGUGAAGAUCUCGGACUUCGAUAUUUAUUCUUUAUUGAGUUUAUAUUGUGGGAAGUUGUCUAAACCUCAUCAUUUAGAGGAAGGUGAAGUCGUAACA
RNAcentral lists this ribosomal RNA (328 nucleotides) under uncultured eukaryote. Its description in RNAcentral is "partial 18S ribosomal RNA". It matches the Rfam family "Eukaryotic small subunit ribosomal RNA", at positions 1470 to 1796 of the family's 1831-position model. The record is from RNAcentral.